Hippoglossus stenolepis (Pacific halibut) is the source of this 1322-nucleotide long non-coding RNA. RefSeq lists it as uncharacterized. Lineage: Eukaryota; Metazoa; Chordata; Actinopteri; Pleuronectiformes; Pleuronectidae. The record is from RefSeq and is a predicted model, not a curated record. The transcript has 3 exons.
AGACAGAGAGAGAGACGGAGAGAGAGACGGAGAGAGAGACGGAGAGACAGAGAGUCGGAGAGACAUUCUGAGACCGAUCCCAUCAGUGUCGCUUCCAUCAUCGCUUUGCUCGCCUGUUCCCACAGGAGCUGAUGUCCUGUGCGGAUAAGACUGCAGAGUGCAACCCUUUAUACUCGUAGAGGGACGUGUCAUGUUCGGGAUUUACACUCCCCUGGAUUUGUAUAAGGCCCUCCCUCGACUCACAUUCGGCAAAUCAGAUCACUUCUCAGUUCUGCCUUCCUCUAGGCAGAAACUCAAACGUGACAGACCGGUGACUCGGACCAUUCAGCGAGGGACCGACCAAUCCGACUCGGCUCUACGGUACAGAGGUCUACGACAAGACACACAGAGAGAGUCGGAGACACACAGGGGGGCGUGUCUGGAGAGUCGGAGACACACAGGGGGGCGUGUCUGGAGAGUCGGAGACACACAUGGGGGCGUGUCUGGAGAGUCGCCUCUCGAAAGUAAACUGUUCAAACCGCAUUUGUUAUCCGUAAUGUACGGUCGGAGCGCACAAGCGCGUGUCAGCAGCACUGGAGAGCGACGCGUCAGAAACAGGAAGACGGAGCCGGUCUAACAGCCGCGUGUGUUGGUGUCUGCUCCUUCUGCUUCAGAGGAAAGGAGCGAGAGACGGAGAGAGAGACGGGGAGAGACGAGAGAGACAGAGAGACAGAGAGACAGACAUUUUCACCUUAACUCCACUACAGCUUUGAUAAUGUUACAUCUUAUUGGUUAUGAAAGUUGAACUAAUAGUGUGUGAUAUUAGUGUGUUGUCCAGCUGCUGAAGGAACCACUUUACAAAGACUUCAGAUGGACUCAUUCGUCUGGUUUGUGUCUGUGGUUUACAGCUGUCUUCCACAGUGGUGGACGAAAAGACACUUCUGACUCCUCCUCUAAUGCUCGGUGGAACAGAGCCUGUGACAGCUGGAUACUGGAUGAUCAGCCUUCAGGAUCACAUGUGGGGGCGUCCACCCAACCUUUGUGACAGGGCUUUCUGUUGUUCACAUCUUUAACUGGGAAGCUGCCUGUACAAGGAAAGACUGAUGCGGCCCAUCUGACAUUUUGUCUUUCAUUUCACAUUUUUGCUGCAUUUCAUUUCCCUUAAUCAUUCAGUAUACGUUGUUCAGAAUAUCACACCAAAACAGGGAACCAAGGUUUUGUUAAAGAGGAGUUUAAUUUACAGGAAUUGACUGUCAUCAUGCUGCUAUUACAUUAAAUUACAUUGUUCUGUAUUUGAGAUUAUGUUGAAUUUCAUUUAAAACAAUAAUAAACAGACAAGUUGA